This 1133-nucleotide long non-coding RNA is filed under the name Scleropages formosus (Asian bonytongue). Its description in RNAcentral is "lncRNA (ENSSFOG00015032146.1)". The record is from RNAcentral. Lineage: Eukaryota; Metazoa; Chordata; Actinopteri; Osteoglossiformes; Osteoglossidae.
AUUUCUGCCUUUCGCCGUGACUUCCGGGCGAGGAGAUGUCCAGGGCCCUCCUGCUGGUCGUCGCACUCGCUCUGACAUCGUCACCCGGUCAGCGUCGGAGCACCGGGUCAGCUCACGUGGGCUACGCUGGACCGCCUGUGGACCGCGCACACCCAGGAGGCAAAGCGGAGGCCUCCGUUCCUGUGCAGCAUCGCUAUGAGGAGGAGGAGGAGUCCCAUGUAACACCAGGGAAGCAAUGGACAGAUGCUCGUCUGGCCAAGGACAGUAAACUGGGCAUCUUCAUCGCGGCUUCGCUGGGAACGCUCACCCUCAUGGGCACCGUCUACUGCAUCUACAGCCACUUCUACACCAAGAGCCCGUACUCCCACGCGCAGCUCCGGGACGACGCAGAGCUGACCCUUGAACUCACGGACCCGUCCACCUCCUUCCUCCCGAGCGACGGGGCGCCGGCGAACGGGGACGAUGGGCCGUGGAAGGCCGGCUACGGCUCCAUGUCGGACGCGCCCUCCGUCAUCCCCUUGCCGCCGGCGCAGACCCUCGUACCGCCCGCAGCGCCCUUCCCCCCGCGCUCCCUCUGCCGCACCCCCCCUCUGCAAACCAUCUCCGCUCGAGAUCUAGAGAAAAGCUUUGUUUGACAGACGACUUGUAGAAACACCCCAAACCCACUCCGCAUGAGUCCAGUUCCAUCAAUCGCUUAGUGUGUCAGGGUAUCUAUAUGUUAUUAUAAACGGAUAUUUCGAAAAGUAUACACAUUAUAGGGUCAGUGAUAUUGUUGGGGUAACUGGUAGCGUGGCGGUUAGCGCUGCUGUUGCCUUUGGCCCUUAGAGGUUGUAGGUUCGAAUCCCAUGUCUGGCUUGAGUAAGGUACUUACCCUGAAUUGCUGCAGUAAAAUUACCCCACUGUAUGAAUGGGUCAGUAAUUGUAAGUAGAUUAAUGUUGUAAAUCACUUUGGAGAAGAGUGUGAGGGCAAUUAAUGAAUGUUAACAGUAGCUGUAGGAGCAUCUUAGUUCAUGUUACUUUUACAGUGUCGUACCGUAUGAACGUGUGGGUACCAUUCGGCUUGGUCUCCUUUUGUGUUUUACCCGACGUGUCCAUAAAAUAAAAUAAAAAAGUGUUUUUGAACUAAAUGCUGU